Molecule: transfer RNA, 62 nt
Filed under: Aleeta curvicosta
Lineage: Eukaryota; Metazoa; Arthropoda; Insecta; Hemiptera; Cicadidae
Description: tRNA-Pro
Source: RNAcentral
CAGAAGAUAAUUUAAUAAAAAUAUAAACUUUGGAUGUUUAAAAUGGUAAUUAUCUCUUCUGA